AUGGGAGCUUGCUCCCUGAGAUUAGCGGCGGACGGGUGAGUAACACGUGGGCAACCUGCCUAUAAGACUGGGAUAACUUCGGGAAACCGGAGCUAAUACCGGAUACGUUCUUUUCUCGCAUGAGAGAAGAUGGAAAGACGGUUUACGCUGUCACUUAUAGAUGGGCCCGCGGCGCAUUAGCUAGUUGGUGAGGUAAUGGCUCACCAAGGCGACGAUGCGUAGCCGACCUGAGAGGGUGAUCGGCCACACUGGGACUGAGACACGGCCCAGACUCCUACGGGAGGCAGCAGUAGGGAAUCUUCCGCAAUGGACGAAAGUCUGACGGAGCAACGCCGCGUGAACGAAGAAGGCCUUCGGGUCGUAAAGUUCUGUUGUUAGGGAAGAACAAGUACCAGAGUAACUGCUGGUACCUUGACGGUACCUAACCAGAAAGCCACGGCUAACUACGUGCCAGCAGCCGCGGUAAUACGUAGGUGGCAAGCGUUGUCCGGAAUUAUUGGGCGUAAAGCGCGCGCAGGUGGUUCCUUAAGUCUGAUGUGAAAGCCCACGGCUCAACCGUGGAGGGUCAUUGGAAACUGGGGAACUUGAGUGCAGAAGAGGAAAGUGGAAUUCCAAGUGUAGCGGUGAAAUGCGUAGAGAUUUGGAGGAACACCAGUGGCGAAGGCGACUUUCUGGUCUGUAACUGACACUGAGGCGCGAAAGCGUGGGGGAGCAAACAGGAUUAGAUACCCUGGUAGUCCACGCCGUAAACGAUGAGU
RNAcentral lists this ribosomal RNA (758 nucleotides) under Peribacillus muralis. RNAcentral's name for it is "bacterial SSU rRNA". It matches the Rfam family "Bacterial small subunit ribosomal RNA", at positions 72 to 814 of the family's 1533-position model. The record is from RNAcentral. Lineage: Bacteria; Bacillati; Bacillota; Bacilli; Caryophanales; Bacillaceae.